Molecule: ribosomal RNA, 1298 nt
Filed under: metagenome
Description: bacterial LSU rRNA
Rfam family: Bacterial large subunit ribosomal RNA
Source: RNAcentral
UACACGACCGUACCGCAAACCGACACUGGUGCGCGAGAUGAGUAUUCUAAGGCGCUUGAGAGAACUCAGGAGAAGGAACUCGGCAAAUUGACACCGUAACUUCGGAAGGAGGUGUGCCUUUAGUAGGUGAACCUUACAAGGGGAGCCCAAUGAGGUUGCAAAAAAUCGGUGGCUGCGACUGUUUAAUAAAAACACAGCACUCUGCAAACACGAAAGUGGACGUAUAGGGUGUGACGCCUGCCCGGUGCUGGAAGAUUAAAUGAUGGGGUGCAAGCUCUUGAUUGAAGUCCCAGUAAACGGCGGCCGUAACAAUAACGGUCCUAAGGUAGCGAAAUUCCUUGUCGGGUAAGUUCCGACCUGCACGAAUGGCGUAACGAUGGCCACACUGUCUCCUCCUGAGACUCAGCGAAGUUGAAAUGUUUGUGAUGAUGCAAUCUCCCCGCGGAAAGACGGAAAGACCCCAUGAACCUUUACUGUAGCUUUGUAUUGGACUUUGAACAGAUCUGUGUAGGAUAGGUGGGAGGCUUUGAAGUGUGGUCGCUAGAUCGCAUGGAGCCAACGUUGAAAUACCACCCUGGUGUGUUUGAGGUUCUAACCUAGGCCCGUAAUCCGGGUCGGGGACAGUGCAUGGUAGGCAGUUUGACUGGGGCGGUCUCCUCCCAAAGCGUAACGGAGGAGUUCGAAGGUACGCUAGGUACGGUCGGACAUCGUGCUAAUAGUGCAAUGGCAUAAGCGUGCUUAACUGCGAGACUGACAAGUCGAGCAGAUGCGAAAGCAGGACAUAGUGAUCCGGUGGUUCUGUAUGGAAGGGCCAUCGCUCAACGGAUAAAAGGUACUCUGGGGAUAACAGGCUGAUACCGCCCAAGAGUUCAUAUCGACGGCGGUGUUUGGCACCUCGAUGUCGGCUCAUCUCAUCCUGGGGCUGUAGCCGGUCCCAAGGGUAUGGCUGUUCGCCAUUUAAAGAGGUACGUGAGCUGGGUUUAAAACGUCGUGAGACAGUUUGGUCCCUAUCUUCCGUGGGCGCUGCAGAUUUGAGGAAGCCUGCUCCUAGUACGAGAGGACCGGAGUGGACACACCUCUGGUGUAUCGGUUGUCACGCCAGUGGCAUUGCCGAGUAGCUAUGUGUGGAAGAGAUAACCGCUGAAAGCAUCUAAGCGGGAAACUCGUUUCAAGAUGAGAUCUGCCGGGGCCUUGAGCCCCCUAAAGAGUCGUUCAAGACCAGGACGUUGAUAGGUCGGGUGUGGAAGCGCAGUAAUGCGUUAAGCUAACCGAUACUAAUUGCUCGUGCGGCUUGACCA